This 163-nucleotide non-coding RNA is filed under the name Microbulbifer sp. THAF38. The record is from RNAcentral. Lineage: Bacteria; Pseudomonadati; Pseudomonadota; Gammaproteobacteria; Cellvibrionales; Microbulbiferaceae.
AACACCGUGAGGUCUUGUGGGGAGGAAGCCGUUAGCAAAUACGAGCUGACGAACAGAAACAUCCUAUAAGGCUUAGCCUGGAGGCGAGGUGGCCAAGGACACCGAAGCCAUGUCAUCUAACGGGUAGAGUCAAUGAUGCACUUGUGUAGUGAAAGUUCACACU